GUGCUCAAUUUGGCAGUACAUAUUAUAAAAUUAAAGCAAUACAGAGAUCAGCAUGGCCCCUUCAUAGAGAUGACGGAUUUGUAAAGUGUUGCCCUUCAAC
This 100-nucleotide small nuclear RNA is filed under the name Meriones unguiculatus (Mongolian gerbil). Lineage: Eukaryota; Metazoa; Chordata; Mammalia; Rodentia; Muridae. The record is from RNAcentral.